RNAcentral lists this ribosomal RNA (468 nucleotides) under uncultured bacterium. RNAcentral's name for it is "partial 16S ribosomal RNA". It matches the Rfam family "Bacterial small subunit ribosomal RNA", at positions 28 to 507 of the family's 1533-position model. The record is from RNAcentral.
GACGAACGCUGGCGGCGUGCUUAGCACAUGCAAGUCGAACGGAAAGGCCCUGCUUUUGUGGGGUGCUCGAGUGGCGAACGGGUGAGUAACACGUGAGUAACCUGCCCUUGACUUUGGGAUAACUUCAGGAAACUGGGGCUAAUACCGGAUAGGAGCUCCUGCUGCAUGGUGGGGGUUGGAAAGUUUCGGCGGUUGGGGAUGGACUCGCGGCUUGUCAGCUUGUUGGUGGGGUAGUGGCUUACCAAGGCUUUGACGGGUAGCCGGCCUGAGAGGGUGACCGGCCACAUUGGGACUGAGAUACGGCCCAGACUCCUACGGGAGGCAGCAGUGGGGAAUAUUGCACAAUGGGCGGAAGCCUGAUGCAGCAACGCCGCGUGCGGGAUGACGGCCUUCGGGUUGUAAACCGCUUUCGCCUGUGACGAAGCGUGAGUGACGGUAAUGGGUAAAGAAGCACCGGCUAACUACGUG